This 301-nucleotide ribosomal RNA is filed under the name uncultured bacterium. Its description in RNAcentral is "partial 16S ribosomal RNA". It matches the Rfam family "Bacterial small subunit ribosomal RNA", at positions 509 to 809 of the family's 1533-position model. The record is from RNAcentral.
CAGUCGCCGCGGUAAUACAGAGGGUGCGAGCGUUAAUCGGAUUUACUGGGCGUAAAGCGUGCGUAGGCGGCUUUUUAAGUCGGAUGUGAAAUCCCUAAGCUUAACUUAGGAAUUGCAUUCGAUACUGGGAAGCUAGAGUAUGGGAGAGGAUGGUAGAAUUCCAGGUGUAGCGGUGAAAUGCGUAGAGAUCUGGAGGAAUACCGAUGGCGAAGGCAGCCAUCUGGCCUAAUACUGACGCUGAGGUACGAAAGCAUGGGGAGCAAACAGGAUUAGAUACCCCCGUAGUCCUGUCUCUUAUACA